GCUGGGCGUGGUGGCGGGCGCCUGUAAUCCCAGCUACAUGGGAGGCUGAGGCAGGAGAAUCGCUUGAACCUGGGAGGCGGAGGUUGCAGUGAGCCCAGAUCACUCCACUGCACUCCAGCCUGGGCAACAGAGUGAGACUCUGUCUCAA
Unclassified non-coding RNA from Pongo abelii (Sumatran orangutan), 148 nucleotides. It matches the Rfam family "Metazoan signal recognition particle RNA". From Rfam's summary of the family: The signal recognition particle (SRP) is a universally conserved ribonucleoprotein. It is involved in the co-translational targeting of proteins to membranes. The record is from Ensembl. Lineage: Eukaryota; Metazoa; Chordata; Mammalia; Primates; Hominidae.